GGCUGUCGUCAGCUCGUGUCGUGAGAUGUUGGGUUAAGUCCCGCAACGAGCGCAACCCUUGUCACUAGUUGCCAUCAUUUAGUUGGGCACUCUAGUGAGACUGCCGGUGACAAACCGGAGGAAGGUGGGGAUGACGUCAAGUCCUCAUGGCCCUUAUGGGUAGGGCUUCACACGUCAUACAAUGGUCGGUACAGAGGGUUGCCAAGCCGCGAGGUGGAGCCAAUCCCUUAAAGCCGAUCGUAGUCCGGAUCGUAGUCUGCAACUCGACUACGUGAAGUCGGAAUCGCUAGUAAUCGCAGAUCAGCAUGCUGCGGUGAAUACGUUCCCGGGUCUU
This 334-nucleotide ribosomal RNA is filed under the name uncultured Thauera sp. Its description in RNAcentral is "bacterial SSU rRNA". It matches the Rfam family "Bacterial small subunit ribosomal RNA", at positions 1047 to 1382 of the family's 1533-position model. The record is from RNAcentral. Lineage: Bacteria; Pseudomonadati; Pseudomonadota; Betaproteobacteria; Rhodocyclales; Zoogloeaceae.